Molecule: ribosomal RNA, 497 nt
Filed under: uncultured bacterium
Lineage: Bacteria
Description: partial 16S ribosomal RNA
Rfam family: Bacterial small subunit ribosomal RNA
Source: RNAcentral
GAUGAACGCUGGCGGCGUGCCUAAUACAUGCAAGUCGAGCGAACAGACGAGGAGCUUGCUCCUUUGACGUUAGCGGCGGACGGGUGAGUAACACGUGGGUAACCUACCUAUAAGACUGGGAUAACUUCGGGAAACCGGAGCUAAUACCGGAUAAUAUUUCGAACCGCAUGGUUCGAUAGUGAAAGAUGGCUCUGCUAUCACUUAUAGAUGGACCUGCGCCGUAUUAGCUAGUUGGUAAGGUAACGGCUUACCAAGGCAACGAUACGUAGCCGACCUGAGAGGGUGAUCGGCCACACUGGAACUGAGACACGGUCCAGACUCCUACGGGAGGCAGCAGUAGGGAAUCUUCCGCAAUGGGCGAAAGCCUGACGGAGCAACGCCGCGUGAGUGACGAAGGUCUUCGGAUCGUAAAACUCUGUUAUUAGGGAAGAACAAACGUGUAAGUAACUGUGCACGUCUUGACGGUACCUAAUCAGAAAGCCACGGCUAACUACGUG